This 1080-nucleotide long non-coding RNA is filed under the name Heterocephalus glaber (naked mole-rat). RNAcentral's name for it is "lncRNA (ENSHGLG00000033033.1)". The record is from RNAcentral. Lineage: Eukaryota; Metazoa; Chordata; Mammalia; Rodentia; Bathyergidae.
CCUGCCUUUCCCAACUGCUCUCCAACAGCCAGAACUUCUGUGGCCUUAAACUACACUAAGCCUGCAGACUCACAGUGCAACAUACCCUCUGGUGAGGAAUACACACCAAGUUGUUGGUGCUGAUUCGACGGACCAUUUGGAGAGAACAGGUUGUACACCUGAAAUCUUAUUUCUUAGGACAUAUUAAAGUAAUUUUGAGUUAAAACUCCAUUCACUCACAGCAACAAGAGAGAUAAAACUGUUAGUAUUUAUCCAAAGAAGAAUGCUACUUUCUACUGUUGAUCUUGACAAAACAACCUCAGUGUCAUAAACCACUGAAAAACUACAUAGAAUCAAACUUGCUGGCAGAAGAACCAUGCCAUCAGUCUGUCUUCAAAUAGAGAUCAGGAGACGUUACAUUACUGACUGAAGUAAAAAUCUUUCUCCUGAUGUAGAACCUAAUUUUUCAAUACAUCUCCAGGCAAGAUAAUAUGACUAAAUUCAUUUGAAUUAUUUUAUUUCUACAUUUUGCUUCAUAGUAAAAGGAGUACAGGCAUGUUGCUCAGCCUCUGCAGCUGUCCAAUGGGCUCUUGUUACACACAUAAGACUUUCUUGCCUCUCUGUUCUUCAUAUUCAAAGACUGUGGGUUUGAGAAUCUAAAGCAUUUGAACCUGAAUAAUUUGUUUCAUGUUCCAGGCUGACAGCCUAGAUUUGAGGUAUGUGCAAAGGAAGACAAUAAUGACAGGUCUAGAAACAUCUAAUGCACAUAAACACAGCAGACACAGUCAGGAGUAUCCAUGAGACCUAAAGUAGUCCAAUGAGAUUGGGAUCUGAAAUGUGAAAUGACAAAGAAAUUCUUAUUGUGGCACAGCAAAGGAGGCAGAAUUAAUAUCCCAGAGCAGCAUGUGGCAAUGACAACACUCAGUGCUCCAUUCUGAAGGUGUCAGCAGUGUGAGCUGCAGGGGGGUUGUACCUGGUGACAAUGGAAGCUGUGUGCUCACCCAAGCAUGGAGUUCUGCAUGUGAUUUGUGCCAUUUUCCCUGAAAACGCAAUCUCUGAUCCUGAUUUUUCAUUCCCAUAUGAUUCCUAAUUUCCUUUUAG